AAUGUGGAAAUUUCUGGUAUGUUACUGGUACUCUGUUAACAAAACUGACGUACUAGCCGCUUGCUGUUUCUAUUUUUUGAUGUUUUUCUUUUCAGUAGUCUCCCCAAAAGUUUUUGUGGACACGUUGUGUAUCUUUUCUGUUCUUCCAGAAUUCAUUUGUCAGGAAAGACAACCAUGAAAUCCAAGGGCUGUGGACAAUCAUCUACCGGAGGGU
This is a long non-coding RNA of Oxyura jamaicensis (ruddy duck), 214 nucleotides long. RefSeq lists it as uncharacterized. The record is from RefSeq and is a predicted model, not a curated record. Lineage: Eukaryota; Metazoa; Chordata; Aves; Anseriformes; Anatidae. The transcript is spliced from 3 exons.